GUGCCAGCCGCCGCGGUAAUACCGGCAGCCCGAGUGAUGGCCGAUCUUAUUGGGCCUAAAGCGUCCGUAGCUGGCUGCGCAAGUCCGUCGGGAAAUCCACCCGCCCAACGAGUGGGCGUCCGACGGAAACUGCACAGCUUGGGACCGGAAGGCUCGAAGGGUACGUUCGGGGUAGGAGUGAAUUCCCAUAAUCCCGCACGGACCACCGAUGGCGAAAGCACUUCGAGAAAACGGAUCCGCCAGUGAGGGACGAAGGCCAGGGUCUCCACCCGAAUUAGAAACCCUUGUGUCC
RNAcentral lists this ribosomal RNA (292 nucleotides) under uncultured bacterium. RNAcentral's name for it is "partial 16S ribosomal RNA". It matches the Rfam family "Archaeal small subunit ribosomal RNA", at positions 455 to 747 of the family's 1478-position model. The record is from RNAcentral.